UAGUUUUCUUCUAAGUCAAACUAUCUUAGGUUUGACCAAAUUUAUAGAUAAUUGUAUUAAUAUCUAUAACACCAAAUAGGUAUAUUAUGAAAAUAUAUUUCAUGAUGAAUCCAAUGAUACUUAUUUGGUGUCAUAAAUGCUGAUAUUUUUCUCUAUAAAUUUGGUCAAACUUGAGAUAGUUUGACUUAGGACAAAACUAG
This is a microRNA precursor of Dichanthelium oligosanthes, 200 nucleotides long. It matches the Rfam family "MIR1435 microRNA precursor family". The record is from Rfam. NCBI's taxonomy places the organism in Eukaryota, Viridiplantae, Streptophyta, Magnoliopsida, Poales, Poaceae.